Molecule: ribosomal RNA, 582 nt
Filed under: Tetra pinnatifidae
Lineage: Eukaryota; Metazoa; Arthropoda; Arachnida; Trombidiformes; Eriophyidae
Description: partial 28S ribosomal RNA
Source: RNAcentral
AAAUAGAACUUUGCAGAGAGAGUUAACAGGGCGUGAAACCGUUGAUUGGCAAACGAAUCGGAGCCACGAAGUCGUUUCGCUGUUAGUUGGGCGGAGUUCAGUUCGCGCCGAAAGACGCGGGCGUAUUCUCACGCUCAUCCAACUUUGUAAGCGUACACUGCAACCUGUUAGACGAUCAGCUGUGGGCUGAGUGACGUAGAGCGAGCAAUCGCGCUGCGGCACGCAUUGUCUGUUCGCUCGCGGUAGUAGUAGCGCAACUGACUUCGGUCUUUCUGUGUUGCUGGCCGCGUGGCGGGUGAACUACAGCUGAAUACUGACAGGCGAAAUGAAAACCGUUUAAAAACGUUAGAGAAAAUGCAGUUGGCCACAUGGAUGUCUACACGUUCGACUGUUAGGUCUAAGCUUGGCAUUUUUGAAUUCAGACCUGCUUGCUACCAGUGGGGCAACUCCUGGUGCUUGUAUGGCUUCUGUCUAAUCGGGUGUCGACUUGGCUUGGCAUCGUUCGGGCGUGAAUCGAUCGGAUGUUUAUGUGAGCUAAUUCGCAAUUUGAAUUGGCAGUGAGUAGGUCGGCUUUCCGAACGA